UACGUAGGUGUCAAGCGUUGUCCGGAUUUACUGGGCGUAAAGGGCUCGUAGGCGGCCAACUAAGUCAGACGUGAAAUCCCCAGGCUCAACCUGGGAACUGCGUCCGAUACUGGCAGGCUUGAAUCCGGGAGAGGGAUGUGGAAUUCCAGGUGUAGCGGUGAAAUGCGUAGAUAUCUGGAGGAACACCGGUGGCGAAGGCGGCAUCCUGGACCGGUAUUGACGCUGAGGCGCGAAAGCUAGGGGAGCAAACGGG
This 253-nucleotide ribosomal RNA is filed under the name uncultured bacterium. RNAcentral's name for it is "partial 16S ribosomal RNA". It matches the Rfam family "Bacterial small subunit ribosomal RNA", at positions 524 to 776 of the family's 1533-position model. The record is from RNAcentral.